This 513-nucleotide ribosomal RNA is filed under the name uncultured bacterium. RNAcentral describes it as "partial 16S ribosomal RNA". It matches the Rfam family "Bacterial small subunit ribosomal RNA", at positions 28 to 523 of the family's 1533-position model. The record is from RNAcentral.
GACGAACGCUGGCGGCAUGCCUAAUACAUGCAAGUCGAGCGAACAGAUGAAGUGCUUGCACUUCUGGCGUUAGCGGCGAACGGGUGAGUAACACGUAAGGAAUCUACCUAUAAGCGGGGGAUAACAUUCGGAAACGGGUGCUAAUACCGCAUAAUAUCUUCUUCCGCAUGGAAGGAGAUUGAAAGACGGCUCUGCUGUCACUUAUAGAUGACCUUGCGGUGCAUUAGUUAGUUGGUGGGGUAACGGCCUACCAAGACGAUGAUGCAUAGCCGACCUGAGAGGGUGAUCGGCCACAUUGGGACUGAGACACGGCCCAAACUCCUACGGGAGGCAGCAGUAGGGAAUCUUCCGCAACGGGCGAAAGCCUGACGGAGCAAUGCCGCGUGAGUGAAGAAGGCCUUCGGGUCGUAAAACUCUGUUAUAAGAGAAGAACAAAUUGUAGAGUAACUGCUACAGUCUUGACGGUAUCUUAUCAGAAAGCCACGGCUAACUACGUGCCAGCCGCCGCCGUAA